AGAGUUUGAUCAUGGCUCAGAACGAACGCUGGCGGCAGGCCUAACACAUGCAAGUCGAGCGCACUCUUCGGAGUGAGCGGCGGACGGGUUAGUAACGCGUGGGAACGUACCCAGAUCUACGGAAUAGCCUCGGGAAACUGAGAGUAAUACCGUAUACGCCCUUCGGGGGAAAGAUUUAUCGGAUUUGGAUCGGCCCGCGUUAGAUUAGAUAGUUGGUGAGGUAACGGCUCACCAAGUCUACGAUCUAUAGCUGGUUUUAGAGGAUGAUCAGCAACACUGGGACUGAGACACGGCCCAGACUCCUACGGGAGGCAGCAGUGGGGAAUCUUGGACAAUGGGCGCAAGCCUGAUCCAGCCAUGCCGCGUGAGUGAUGAAGGCCUUAGGGUCGUAAAGCUCUUUCGCCAGAGAUGAUAAUGACAGUAUCUGGUAAAGAAACCCCGGCUAACUCCGUGCCAGCAGCCGCGGUAAUACGGAGGGGGUUAGCGUUGUUCGGAAUUACUGGGCGUAAAGCGCGCGUAGGCGGACCAGAAAGUUAGGGGUGAAAUCCCGGGGCUCAACCCCGGAACUGCCUCUAAAACUCCUGAUCUAGAGUUCGAGAGAGGUGAGUGGAAUUCCGAGUGUAGAGGUGAAAUUCGUAGAUAUUCGGAGGAACACCAGUGGCGAAGGCGGCUC
This 673-nucleotide ribosomal RNA is filed under the name uncultured bacterium. RNAcentral's name for it is "bacterial SSU rRNA". It matches the Rfam family "Bacterial small subunit ribosomal RNA", at positions 8 to 727 of the family's 1533-position model. The record is from RNAcentral.